RNAcentral lists this long non-coding RNA (218 nucleotides) under Elaeis guineensis (African oil palm). RNAcentral's name for it is "long non-coding RNA (EGUI_LNC057850)". Lineage: Eukaryota; Viridiplantae; Streptophyta; Magnoliopsida; Arecales; Arecaceae. The record is from RNAcentral.
GGGUACCCUUGCUAGAUGGUCAUUUCGAUUCAUGCAUAAAUUUAUUCCUGUGCUACCAACUUAGGUUCAAACCUAUGAGGUCACACAUAUUAGAGUUCAUGAUCCAAUCGGAUGGUUGAUCAAUGAUGAAGAAUCGUUCUAGGGUUAAAUGAUCACUACGAUUGAUAUUUAACCCAAAGCAAGUGUUGCAGGAGGAUCGAUUGGCAAUUUGAUUGCUA